GGCUCUGUAGUGUAGUUGGUUACACGUUUGCUUGGUAAGCAAAAGGUCGCAGGUGCAAUUCAAACCAGAGACG
Molecule: transfer RNA, 73 nt
Filed under: Oreochromis niloticus (Nile tilapia)
Lineage: Eukaryota; Metazoa; Chordata; Actinopteri; Cichliformes; Cichlidae
Rfam family: tRNA
About the family: Transfer RNA (tRNA) molecules are approximately 80 nucleotides in length.
Source: Rfam by way of RNAcentral